CCAAUAGCGUAUAUUAAAGUUGUUGCAGUUAAAAAGCUCGUAGUUGAAUUUCGGGAUCAAUUUGCUGGUCGUGCCUUCGGUACGCACUGGUAUUAUUGGUUUCUCCUUUCUGAUGAAUCGCGAUGUCAUUAAUUUGGUGUCGUGGGGAAUCAGGACCGUUACUUUGAAAAAAUUAGAGUGUUUAAAGCAGGCUCACGCUUGAAUACAUUAGCAUGGAAUAAUGAAAUAGGACGUUUGAUUCUAUUUUGUUGGUUUCUAGGAUCGACGUAAUGAUUAAUAGGGAGAGUUGGGGGCAUUAGUAUUCAAUUGUCAGAGGUGAAAUUCUUGGAUUUAUUGAAGACUAACUACUGCGAAAGCAUUUGCCAAGGAUGUUUUCAUUAAUCAAGAACGAAAGUUAGGGGAUCGAAGACGAUCAGAUACCGUCGUAGUCUUAACCAUAAACUAUGCCGACUAGGGAUCGGAUGAUGUUAAUUUUUUAAUGACUCAUUCGGCGCCUUACG
RNAcentral lists this ribosomal RNA (500 nucleotides) under uncultured Glomus. RNAcentral describes it as "SSU rRNA". It matches the Rfam family "Eukaryotic small subunit ribosomal RNA", at positions 591 to 1092 of the family's 1831-position model. The record is from RNAcentral. Lineage: Eukaryota; Fungi; Glomeromycota; Glomeromycetes; Glomerales; Glomeraceae.